GGCAACGUGGCGGAGUGGUUAUCGCGCUAGCCUAGAAUCGGAUGCCCUGAUUAGCUAGUUCCUUCGGGAGCGUCAGUUCGAGUCUGGCCGUUGUCG
Molecule: transfer RNA, 96 nt
Organism: Blumeria graminis f. sp. tritici 96224
Lineage: Eukaryota; Fungi; Ascomycota; Leotiomycetes; Helotiales; Erysiphaceae
Rfam family: tRNA
About the family: Transfer RNA (tRNA) molecules are approximately 80 nucleotides in length.
Source: Rfam